GAUGUUUACGAAGCCUCUCAGACUCCUCCGAAUGCAAUACUCAACUUAAUUGCGUGGAAACCAUAUUCCCAGUCCGGCAACAUGCCCGACUGAAGCUCGGGGUGUGUGUGGGGGGGCUCCUUUUUCAAAGCGUUAAUUAACACAACAAAAGGUGCAUUGUCCUCCAGACGCCAUCACUCAGCGGCGAGCCUCACACGUGCGAGCUGUCGGGGGAAGUUUGGAUCUGUUGGAUCUGUUGGAUUUUCCCAGCUGCUCCUGAACGCAUCAUCUCACUCUUCCGCGGAAGAAAACGCCGACUCGGCGUGUAACGGAACAGCAAAGAUCUGCAUUAGCCUUGUUCUCCGUCACGCCUUCCCUUCACCGGGUCAAUAGGAGCGGAGUGGAAUUCUGUGGAUGGACUCAGCUGGACAAGACAAUGGGGAAUAUUCAUCAACCUGACAAAAGGAAAUGGUGUUAAAUCUUUGCCCGUGGGAUCUAAGAAAGAAAAGCAUCAUUACAAGUCGUGUCGAGCCUGUGAAGUGGGACUCGUGCUCGAAUAUUCCAUGCUUUUGCAAAUAUGUUGAUAAUCGAUCGGCGCUCAGAGGCUGCAGCUCAGCUAAUGGGAGAAAUCGCCGCUCACAUACAUGUAUUAGCGUUACCUUGAGCCCUAAACAAAUGCAUAAGGAAUGUGUUGUGAUGUUUUAUGGAACAAACUAUCAAUGAAUUAAUGUUAUCAGGUUAAUCAAUAAAAAAAAUCAGUGAUGCCGUCAAAGCCCAGAAAACCAAUGUCUUUAAAUACAAGCCUCGCAGCCCAGAGAACCAUAAUAAACCAUAAGUGAUGAAUAUUAUACAGCCGAUAACAAUAUAAUCCUGAUAACAUAGUGUACUGAAUUAAAUAUUUAAUGCGAGCGUUGUUAGACUGGAGGCAUUUUUAAAGAAAUGUUCUCAUCUAUUAGAACCACAUAACUAGUGUGAUGAGAUUACUGAUGCCCAGUAUGCGAUUGCCAAUUGAGACUUAGUGCAGAAGCAAUUAAAAAAAGCUCUAAAUCAAA
This is a long non-coding RNA of Pseudoliparis swirei, 1031 nucleotides long. RefSeq lists it as uncharacterized. The transcript has 3 exons. NCBI's taxonomy places the organism in Eukaryota, Metazoa, Chordata, Actinopteri, Perciformes, Liparidae. The record is from RefSeq and is a predicted model, not a curated record.